RNAcentral lists this ribosomal RNA (200 nucleotides) under uncultured bacterium. RNAcentral describes it as "partial 16S ribosomal RNA". It matches the Rfam family "Bacterial small subunit ribosomal RNA", at positions 524 to 723 of the family's 1533-position model. The record is from RNAcentral.
UACGGAGGGUCCAAGCGUUAUCCGGAAUCAUUGGGUUUAAAGGGUCCGCAGGCGGUCAAUUAAGUCAGAGGUGAAAUCCCGUCGCUCAACGACGGAACUGCCUUUGAUACUGGUUGACUUGAGUUAUAUGGAAGUAGAUAGAAUAAGUAGUGUAGCGGUGAAAUGCAUAGAGAUUACUUAGAAUACCGAUUGCGAAGGCA